This 253-nucleotide ribosomal RNA is filed under the name uncultured bacterium. RNAcentral describes it as "partial 16S ribosomal RNA". It matches the Rfam family "Bacterial small subunit ribosomal RNA", at positions 524 to 776 of the family's 1533-position model. The record is from RNAcentral.
UACGUAGGGUGCAAGCGUUGUCCGGAAUUAUUGGGCGUAAAGAGCUCGUAGGCGGUCUGUUGCGUCGGCUGUGAAAACCCGGGGCUCAACUCCGGGCCUGCGGUCGAUACGGGCAGGCUAGAGUUCGGUAGGGGAGACUGGAAUUCCUGGUGUACCGGUGAAAUGGACAGAUAUCGGAUAGAACACCAGUGGCGAAGGCGGCCGACUGGGCCGUUCCUGACGCUGAGACCCGAAAGCCAGAGUAGCGAACCGG